Molecule: transfer RNA, 64 nt
Filed under: Empoascanara sipra
Lineage: Eukaryota; Metazoa; Arthropoda; Insecta; Hemiptera; Cicadellidae
Description: tRNA-Val
Source: RNAcentral
CGAAAUGUAGCUUAUUUAAAGCUAUUUAUUUACAUUAAACUGAAAAUUUUAUAAUUCUUUUCGA